RNAcentral lists this small nuclear RNA (62 nucleotides) under Meriones unguiculatus (Mongolian gerbil). Lineage: Eukaryota; Metazoa; Chordata; Mammalia; Rodentia; Muridae. The record is from RNAcentral.
GCACUCGGUUCAGCAACACAUAUACUAUAAUUGGAAUGAUACAGAGAAGAUUAGCAUGGUCC